Molecule: ribosomal RNA, 428 nt
Filed under: uncultured bacterium
Lineage: Bacteria
Description: partial 16S ribosomal RNA
Rfam family: Bacterial small subunit ribosomal RNA
Source: RNAcentral
GUGGGGAAUAUUGGGCAAUGGGCGAAAGCCUGACCCAGCAACGCCGCGUGAAGGAAGAAGGCUUUCGGGUUGUAAACUUCUUUUGUCAGGGACGAAAAAAAUGACGGUACCUGACGAAUAAGCCACGGCUAACUACGUGCCAGCAGCCGCGGUAAUACGUAGGUGGCAAGCGUUAUCCGGAUUUACUGGGUGUAAAGGGCGUGUAGGCGGGAAAGCAAGUCAGAUGUGAAAACUAUGGGCUCAACCCAUAGCCUGCAUUUGAAACUGUUUUUCUUGAGUACUGGAGAGGCAGAUGGAAUUCCUAGUGUAGCGGUGAAAUGCGUAGAUAUUAGGAGGAACACCAGUGGCGAAGGCGAUCUGCUGGACAGCAACUGACGCUGAGGCGCGAAAGCGUGGGGAGCAAACAGGAUUAGAAACCCGUGUAGUCC